GGCGGAGUAGCUCAGCUUGGUUAGAGCAGUGGAAUCAUAAUCCACGUGUCGGGGGUUCAAGUCCCUCCUCCGCUACCA
RNAcentral lists this transfer RNA (78 nucleotides) under Rhodospirillaceae bacterium. RNAcentral's name for it is "tRNA-Met". It matches the Rfam family "tRNA". From Rfam's summary of the family: Transfer RNA (tRNA) molecules are approximately 80 nucleotides in length. Their secondary structure includes four short double-helical elements and three loops (D, anti-codon, and T loops). Lineage: Bacteria; Pseudomonadati; Pseudomonadota; Alphaproteobacteria; Rhodospirillales; Rhodospirillaceae. RNAcentral also lists the same sequence under 2 other names. The record is from RNAcentral.